RNAcentral lists this ribosomal RNA (504 nucleotides) under uncultured bacterium. Its description in RNAcentral is "bacterial SSU rRNA". It matches the Rfam family "Bacterial small subunit ribosomal RNA", at positions 28 to 521 of the family's 1533-position model. The record is from RNAcentral.
GAUGAACGCUAGCUACAGGCUUAACACAUGCAAGUCGAGGGGCAGCACAGAGAUAGCUUGCUAUCUUGGGUGGCGACCGGCGCACGGGUGAGUAACGCGUAUCCAACCUGCCCAUUACUCUGGGAUAGCCUUGCGAAAGUAAGAUUAAUACCGGAUGUUGUUAAAAACCCGCAUGAGUUUUUAACCAAAGAUUUAUUGGUAAUGGAUGGGGAUGCGUGACAUUAGGUAGUUGGUGAGGUAACGGCUCACCAAGCCUACGAUGUCUAGGGGUUCUGAGAGGAAGGUCCCCCACACAGGAACUGAGACACGGUCCAGACUCCUACGGGAGGCAGCAGUGAGGAAUAUUGGUCAAUGGACGAGAGUCUGAACCAGCCAAGUAGCGUGCAGGAUGACGGCCCUCUGGGUUGUAAACUGCUUUUAGUUGGGAAUAAAAAGAGGGACGUGUCCCUAAUUGUAUGUACCAUCAGAAAAAGGACCGGCUAAUUCCGUGCCAGCAGCCGCGGU